GAUGAAGAACGUAGCGAAAUGCGAUAAGUAAUGUGGAUGAACGCACAUUGCGCCCGCCAGCAUUCUGGCGGGCAUGCCUGUUCGAGCGUCAUUUCAACCCUCGAGCCCCCCCCCCGGGGCCUCGGUGUUGGGGAACGGCACACCGGCCGCCCCCGAAAUGCAGUGGCGACCCCGCCACAGCCUCCCCUGCGUGGUAGCACACACCUCGCACCGGAGCGCGGAGGCGGUCACGCCGUAAAACGCCCUACUUUCUUAGAGUUGACCUCGGAUCAGGUAGGAAUACCCGCUGAACUUAAGCAUAUCAAUAAGCGGAGGA
RNAcentral lists this unclassified non-coding RNA (316 nucleotides) under soil metagenome. Its description in RNAcentral is "partial contains 5.8S ribosomal RNA, internal transcribed spacer 2, and large subunit ribosomal RNA". The stretch from base 1 to 91 matches the Rfam family "5.8S ribosomal RNA", at positions 35 to 154 of the family's 154-position model. The record is from RNAcentral.